UCGUACAGGUUUCCGUAGGUGAACCUGCGGAAGGAUCAUUAAAGAGUAAGGGUGCUCAGCGCCCGACCUCCAACCCUUUGUUGUUAAAACUACCUUGUUGCUUUGGCGGGACCGCUCGGUCUCGAGCCGCUGGGGAUUCGUCCCAGGCGAGCGCCCGCCAGAGUUAAACCAAACUCUUGUUAAUUAAACCGGUCGUCUGAGUUAAAAUUUUGAAUAAAUCAAAACUUUCAACAACGGAUCUCUUGGUUCUCGCAUCGAUGAAGAACGCAGCGAAAUGCGAUAAGUAAUGUGAAUUGCAGAAUUCAGUGAAUCAUCGAAUCUUUGAACGCACAUUGCGCCCCUUGGUAUUCCGAGGGGCAUGCCUGUUCGAGCGUCAUUACACCACUCAAGCUAUGCUUGGUAUUGGGUGCCGUCCUUAGUUGGGCGCGCCUUAAAGACCUCGGCGAGGCCUCACCGGCUUUAGGCGUAGUAGAAUUUAUUCGAACGUCUGUCAAAGGAGAGGACUUCUGCCGACUGAAACCUUUAUUUUUCUAGGUUGACCUCGGAUCAGGUAGGGAUACCCGCUGAACUUAAGCAUAUCA
RNAcentral lists this ribosomal RNA (581 nucleotides) under uncultured fungus. RNAcentral describes it as "eukaryotic LSU rRNA". The stretch from base 223 to 376 matches the Rfam family "5.8S ribosomal RNA". Lineage: Eukaryota; Fungi. The record is from RNAcentral.